Molecule: ribosomal RNA, 395 nt
Filed under: uncultured bacterium
Lineage: Bacteria
Description: bacterial SSU rRNA
Rfam family: Bacterial small subunit ribosomal RNA
Source: RNAcentral
AGUGGGGGAUAGCCCGGCGAAAGCCGGAUUAAUACCGCAUGAGACCUGAGGGUGAAAGCGGGGGAUCGCAAGACCUCGCGCUAUUGGAGCGGCCGAUAUCAGAUUAGCUAGUUGGUGGGGUAAAGGCCUACCAAGGCAACGAUCUGUAGUUGGUCUGAGAGGACGACCAGCCACACUGGGACUGAGACACGGCCCAGACUCCUACGGGAGGCAGCAGUGGGGAAUUUUGGACAAUGGGCGCAAGCCUGAUCCAGCAAUGCCGCGUGCAGGAAGAAGGCCUUCGGGUUGUAAACUGCUUUUGUCAGGGAAGAAAUCCUCUGGGUUAAUACCUCGGGGGGAUGACGGUACCUGAAGAAUAAGCACCGGCUAACUACGUGCCAGCAGCCGCGGUAAUA